AAAAUAUAAUAUUAUAUAUUUCUAAAUUUCGUCAUUGUUUAAAGUGACAAAUCUGAUUUGCGGUGGCUGCUAAUGCACUUGUUCUUAGCUUUUUCUCUUUUCUCUCCCUUUUCACACUUCAACAAAAUCCACUUCCAAGUUCCAAAGCUGCCUCUUGUUUCACUACUUCUACACCAUUGGGUUAAUUGGGUUUGGAGAAGGGAAGGUUUUGAAGCAUGCACCAGAAAUCAAACGGCACAAAUCACUCGGAAUUCUCUGAUCCCAAUACUAACACUAGAACUGAUAAUAACCCAGUACAGAGUACAGUAAAUUCUCAACCUUGGUGGGGUAUAUCCCACCAUGGAAUCUCUAAAGAUCAUGUUUUUGGUGGAACAACUAUGAGUUUGUCUCAACCAAAUAAUCUAAAUGGUGAUUUUGGAACCCAAAAUAGCAAUUCUCUUUCACAAGAAAGGCAGAGUACUGGCCAUGAUGACGGAAGUGAUCUUGGUCUUACUAGUAAAGAAAUCAUACAAUCAGAUAGAAAAUGUGGAGAAGACCAGCAUAUGCAGAGGGUUUCACCGGUUACGCCUCCAACAAUGACGGAAUAUCUUGCACCGCCUCCCCAGCUAGAAUUUGUCAGCCACUCAAUUGCAUGUUCAUCAUAUCCGUAUUCUGAUCCGUAUUAUGGAGUGAUGCCUGCUUAUGGGCCUCAUGCUUUGGUACAGCCUCAUUGUCUUGGAUUGUCCUCGGCUAGAAUGGCCUUACCCCUUGACAUGGCAGAGGAGCCUGUCUAUGUCAAUGCCAAGCAGUACCAUGGAAUUCUAAGACGCAGGCAGUCCCGUGCCAAGGCUGAGCUAGAAAAGAAGCUAAUAAAAGUUCGUAAGCCUUAUCUCCACGAGUCCCGUCAUUUGCAUGCCAUGAGGAGGGCAAGAGGAAGCGGAGGCCGUUUUCUGAACACAAAGAAUAAUGAUGGUACAGCCGCUAACCCCACAGCCAACAACAACACAACCAGUUCUGGUGCAACUACUAAAGCGGAUCAAAUCAACUCGUCGAGCACCAAGCCCGUCUGGUCUGAUUCCUACACUGAUCUUCGUGAACCAACUGACCGCCACAUGCAGGGAAUCCACCAAAACAAGACAUACUCCAACGUCAAUAGUGGCAACAGCUGCUACCUAAACAAUCAGGGAUUUCAGUUAUCCGCAUACCAUUCGCUCUUGGGUGAUCGUAGGGCGGAGGAAGGAGAACUCUCAGGGAACCACCGUGACCGAAUUAUCACUAACGGGACUCACAGGGCCCUUACCAUCAAAUAGGUAUCCUAAGGGAUGAAGGGUUUGCUCCAGAAAUGCCAAUGGUACAUGAAUAGGCUUAUGAGGGUACUGUCAAGGAAGUAAAGCUGUUCGAAUUUCUCACCAAUAAGAUUAUAAAAUUAUGGCAAUAAUACCCUUGAGAUCACUUUGUCUAGAGGCAAAUAUGGAGACAUUUCUAAUCAACUUGAGGAGGAGAUAAGUAUAAUGGCUGCAGUAGGUUUUCAAGUUGGAGAGUUCUGGCUGUACAAAAGGGGAUGGCAAAGAUUUAACGGUGCAGGGGCGCAUAUAAAGGAUGACAAUCGUGAAGGGUGGUGCAUAUGCUUAAGGAAGAGAAUACAAUUGUCAAGGCUGCAUGGUGUUGUAGAGAACAAAAUGCAAAAGCACAGAGAAGGGAACAAAAUGCAAAAGCACAAAGAAGGGCGUACGGACAGAGGAACAGUUGGAGGCGCAUGA
RNA transcript from Morus notabilis, 1739 nucleotides. It is a transcript of the gene named nuclear transcription factor Y subunit A-1, with no coding region annotated. NCBI's taxonomy places the organism in Eukaryota, Viridiplantae, Streptophyta, Magnoliopsida, Rosales, Moraceae. The record is from RefSeq and is a predicted model, not a curated record. The transcript has 7 exons.